RNAcentral lists this ribosomal RNA (497 nucleotides) under uncultured bacterium. RNAcentral describes it as "partial 16S ribosomal RNA". It matches the Rfam family "Bacterial small subunit ribosomal RNA", at positions 28 to 507 of the family's 1533-position model. The record is from RNAcentral.
GAUGAACGCUGGCGGCGUGCCUAAUACAUGCAAGUCGAGCGAACAGACGAGGAGCUUGCUCCUCUGACGUUAGCGGCGGACGGGUGAGUAACACGUGGAUAACCUACCUAUAAGACUGGGAUAACUUCGGGAAACCGGAGCUAAUACCGGAUAAUAUAUUGAACCGCAUGGUUCAAUAGUGAAAGACGGUUUUGCUGUCACUUAUAGAUGGAUCCGCGCCGCAUUAGCUAGUUGGUAAGGUAACGGCUUACCAAGGCAACGAUGCGUAGCCGACCUGAGAGGGUGAUCGGCCACACUGGAACUGAGACACGGUCCAGACUCCUACGGGAGGCAGCAGUAGGGAAUAUUCCGCAAAGGGCGAAAGCCUGACGGAGCAACGCCGCGUGAGUGAUGAAGGUCUUCGGAUCGUAAAACUCUGUUAUUAGGGAAGAACAAAUGUGUAAGUAACUAUGCACGUCUUGACGGUACCUAAUCAGAAAGCCACGGCUAACUACGUG